GGUCCGUUGGUCAAGGGGUUAAGACCCCGCCUUUUCACGGCGGUAACACGGGUUCGAAUCCCGUACGGACUA
RNAcentral lists this transfer RNA (72 nucleotides) under Streptococcus agalactiae. RNAcentral's name for it is "tRNA-Glu". It matches the Rfam family "tRNA". From Rfam's summary of the family: Transfer RNA (tRNA) molecules are approximately 80 nucleotides in length. Their secondary structure includes four short double-helical elements and three loops (D, anti-codon, and T loops). Further hydrogen bonds mediate the characteristic L-shaped molecular structure. tRNAs have two regions of fundamental functional importance: the anti-codon, which is responsible for specific mRNA codon recognition, and the 3' end, to which the tRNAs corresponding amino acid is attached (by aminoacyl-tRNA synthetases). tRNAs cope with the degeneracy of the genetic code in two manners: having more than one tRNA (with a specific anti-codon) for a particular amino acid; and 'wobble' base-pairing, i.e. permitting non-standard base-pairing at the 3rd anti-codon position. RNAcentral also lists the same sequence under 4 other names. Lineage: Bacteria; Bacillati; Bacillota; Bacilli; Lactobacillales; Streptococcaceae. The record is from RNAcentral.